Molecule: ribosomal RNA, 475 nt
Filed under: uncultured bacterium
Lineage: Bacteria
Description: partial 16S ribosomal RNA
Rfam family: Bacterial small subunit ribosomal RNA
Source: RNAcentral
AUUAACGCUGGCGGCGUGCAUAACACAUGCAAGUCGAACGAUGAAACUUAGUAGACUUCUUCGGAAAGCCACUAAGCGGAUUAGUGGCGAACGGGUGAGUAACGCGUGAGUAACCUGCCUUACACAAGGGGAUAGCCUUUGGAAACGAAGAAUAAUACCCUAUAAAACCAUAAAAGCACAUGCUAGAAUGGUCAAAGUGAUAGCGGUGUAAGAUGGACUUGCGUCUGAUUAGCUAGUUGGUGAGAUAAAAGCUCACCAAGGCAACGAUCAGUAGCCGGCUUGAGAGAGUGUACGGCCACAUUGGGACUGAGACACGGCCCAGACUCCUACGGGAGGCAGCAGUGGGGAAUGUUGCACAAUGGGGGAAACCCUGAUGCAGCGACGCCGCGUGAUUUAGAAGGCCUUCGGGUUGUAAAAAUCUUUUGUAUAGGAAGAAAAUGACAGUACUAUACGAAUAAGGUCCGGCUAAUUACGU